CACACUAGCUGGGCCCUCCUCGCCAUCAUCCUUUCUCUGCACCUGGGCUGGCUCCUCAUCUGCUACUUGAGACAUGGGCGUUUCCCAAGGGUCUCAUCAUUCUCACCAGCUGGCUCUUCUGGAUGAGUCUUAAAUCUUCGGCUCCAGCGCUGUUUUCCUUCUACACCCCAGGCUUGUCUAACAGCCCAGUCAGUGUGUUACCUCCUGAGGGCCAGAGGGGACCGGAUCCGCCAUGGGACAGGCACACUAUGAAGCAGAUGAGCAUCAGUGAACAGUUACUGAUCGUCUGGUGGGAGAUGGGGACCAAACUUUAAGGCCCACAAGGAUCCCAAGGAGUUUCCAGCUACGCCUCGCUGUCACCAGGUGCCACAGAUGAUGCCCAAACUGCCUGUUGGUCACUGCCUCCUUCCUCACCACCAUUUCCUCAUCCCAGGGUGGGACUGAGGGAUGGAAAUGUCAGCCCUGUCGGGGGGGGGGGGGGGAAGAAGUUAUUCUGACGGUCACAAGCCUUCUGAUCCCAUCACCUAUUAUAGAAGAGGCAGUUACCUCCAG
Molecule: long non-coding RNA, 552 nt
Organism: Heterocephalus glaber (naked mole-rat)
Lineage: Eukaryota; Metazoa; Chordata; Mammalia; Rodentia; Bathyergidae
Source: Ensembl